This 28-nucleotide non-coding RNA is filed under the name Mus musculus (house mouse). The record is from RNAcentral. Lineage: Eukaryota; Metazoa; Chordata; Mammalia; Rodentia; Muridae.
UUCUAAGCUAGUUAGGGCUACAUAGUGA